RNAcentral lists this ribosomal RNA (247 nucleotides) under uncultured bacterium. RNAcentral describes it as "partial 16S ribosomal RNA". It matches the Rfam family "Bacterial small subunit ribosomal RNA", at positions 523 to 769 of the family's 1533-position model. The record is from RNAcentral.
AUACGGAGGGUGCGAGCGUUGUUCGGAAUUAUUGGGCGUAAAGCGCGUGUAGGCGGUUUGUUAAGUCUGAUGUGAAAGCCCCGGGCUCAACCUGGGAAGUGCAUUGGAUACUGGCAGACUUGAAUACGGGAGAGGGCAGUGGAAUUCCUGGUGUAGGAGUGAAAUCCGUAGAUAUCAGAUAGAACACCAAUGGCGAAGGCAGCUCGCUGGCUCAAUACUGACGCUAAAGCACGAAAGUGUGGGUAGC